Molecule: ribosomal RNA, 486 nt
Filed under: uncultured bacterium
Lineage: Bacteria
Description: bacterial SSU rRNA
Rfam family: Bacterial small subunit ribosomal RNA
Source: RNAcentral
GAUGAACGCUAGCGGCAGGCUUAAUACAUGCAAGUCGAGGGGCAUCAAGGUACACGAAAGUGUAUUGUUGGCGACCGGCGGACGGGUGAGUAAUAGGUAGGUAACCUACCUCAUACUGAGGCAUAGCUGGGAGAAAUUCCAGGUAAUUCCUCAUGAGGUUAUAUGACACAUGUGAUAUAAUCAAAGGUAUCGCAAGGUACUGGUAUGAGAUGGGCUUACUGACCAUUAGCUAGUUGGUGAGAUAAGAGCUCACCAAGGCGAAGAUGGUUAGGGGUUUGAGAGAGAGAUCCCCCACAUUGGAACUGAGAUACGGUCCAGACUCCUACGGGAGGCAGCAGUAGGGAAUAUUGGGCAAUGGGCGGAAGCCUGACCCAGCCAUGCCGCGUGAAGGAAGACGGCCUUAUGGGUUGUAAACUUCUUUACUAUGCGACUAACUAGAUUUACGAGAUAAUUCUAUAGAAUGUAGCAUAGACAAAAAGCACCGGA